Molecule: long non-coding RNA, 452 nt
Organism: Rosa rugosa (rugosa rose)
Lineage: Eukaryota; Viridiplantae; Streptophyta; Magnoliopsida; Rosales; Rosaceae
Exons: 3
Source: RefSeq, a predicted model, not a curated record
GAAAACCUUCAAUGCUGAAACUGGUAGGGUUAACAAACUGCCUAAAGUGAAAUCGCUUCCGGGCGUACCUAAACAACCAGGUGGAGUUGAGUGUGGCUAUUAUGUUAUGCGAUACAUGAAAGACAUAAUAGAGGAUGAGACACUUUCAUUUCCUACCAAGUGGGCGGUAAAGACGCGGAAGUCAUAUAGCCAAAAUCAAAUUGAUGAGGUGCGCAUUGAAGUGGCUGAUUAUAUGCAGAGUUUGAUGUAGGACUGUGACUGCCAAGAUGUUUUUUGAGUAAGGCUAGCUAGUUUUGGCUUUGAAGCAAAGCUUGGUGUGGAACUUUUGUACAUUGUUGCUCAUAUUUUUCCAAGCUUUGUUUUGUAAGUUUAGGGGUUUAUUUUGGCCCAUUAUGUUGAAUCAUGAAUUUGGAAAGAACAUUAAUGGAAAGCCCCUAAUUUUGGAUGAUGAG